This 279-nucleotide ribosomal RNA is filed under the name uncultured bacterium. Its description in RNAcentral is "partial 16S ribosomal RNA". It matches the Rfam family "Bacterial small subunit ribosomal RNA", at positions 506 to 784 of the family's 1533-position model. The record is from RNAcentral.
UGCCAGCCGCCGCGGUAAUACGGAGGGUGCAAGCGUCGUUCGGAAUUACUAGGCGUAAAGCGCGCGUAGGCGGCUUUUUAAGUCAGAUGUGAAAGUCCACGGCUCAACCGUGGAAGUGCACUUGAAACUGGGAGGCCUGAGUAUUGGAGGGGGUGGUGGAAUUCCCGGUGUAGAGGUGAAAUUCGUAGAUAUCAGGAGGAACACCGGUGGCGAAGGCGACCAUCUGGGACGGAACUGACGCUGAUGAACGAAAGCUAGGGUAUCAAACGGGAUUAGAUA